CGGGGCGUAGCGCAGCCUGGUAGCGCGCUUGCUUCGGGAGCAAGAGGUCGGGAGUUCGAAUCUCCCCGCCCCGACCA
Molecule: transfer RNA, 77 nt
Filed under: Kiritimatiellia bacterium
Lineage: Bacteria; Pseudomonadati; Kiritimatiellota; Kiritimatiellia
Also listed under: 1 other name
Description: Kiritimatiellae bacterium (aquatic metagenome) tRNA-Pro
Rfam family: tRNA
About the family: Transfer RNA (tRNA) molecules are approximately 80 nucleotides in length.
Source: RNAcentral